UCCAGACUCCUACGGGAGGCAGCAGUGGGGGAUAUUGCACAAUGGGGGGAACCCUGAUGCAGCGACGCCGCGUGGGUGAGGAAGUACCCCGGUAUGUAAAGCCCUUUCGGCAGGGAAGAAAAUGACGGUACCUGGCGAAGAAGCCCCGGCUAACUACGUGCCAGCAGCCGCGGUCAUACGUAGGGGGCAAGCGUUAUCCGGAUUUACUGGGUGUAAAGGGAGCGUAGACGGCCAGACAAGUCUGAAGUGAAAAUCCAGCGCGUAACGUUGGAAGUGCUUUGGAAACUGCCGGGCUAGAGUGCAGGAGGGGCAGGCGGAAUUCCUAGUGUAGCGGUGAAAUGCGUAGAUAUUAGGAGGAACACCGGUGGCGAAGGCGGCCUGCUGGACAGUAACUGACGUUGAGGCUCGAAAGCGUGGGGAGCAAACAGGAUUAGAUACCCCUGUACA
RNAcentral lists this ribosomal RNA (447 nucleotides) under uncultured bacterium. Its description in RNAcentral is "bacterial SSU rRNA". It matches the Rfam family "Bacterial small subunit ribosomal RNA", at positions 330 to 794 of the family's 1533-position model. The record is from RNAcentral.